AACAUAAUAUAUCAAUAAAAAAAUUUUCUCUAAAAAGUUCCUUGAACUUCUGUGAAAUCUCAUUCUCAAAAAUAACUUUUAAAAAAUCUGAGAAAUCUCAUAUUUCUUUACAAGUCAAAAAACAUGGUUUGAAAGAGGAAGUUCCCUUGGUUUUCUGUAGCUAGAUUCUAGGUUUCUUCUAGUUUUGGAUUCUGGUUCUGAAGCUCAAAUUUGGAUUGUUGAAAACUGAUCUUGGUUUCUAAUUUGGCUGUGUGUUUGGCUGCCUGCUACUGCUCAUUAUUUUAGAAGAAUCAGCUGAGCUAUUACCCUUUAUUUAGUCUUAUUUGAGUCAUCUUUAGGUAUGUAACCAAGUUUUGGCUAUGAGAAUGAUCCUAUAUGUGAAAUUUGCAUUUAUAUAUAACUAUAUGUGUAUGGAUACAUGUGUUACCAGUAGAAGCUAAUGUGUUAACUCAUUAUUUGUCAUCAGCCUUUCAUAUGUUUCUCUUUGCAUCUCAGCAUGUAAAAAGUAAUGUUAAAAUAGCACAAGCAGUUGUAUUUUGUGACAAUGUUUAGGUUAGUUUAUGAUACUUUUCUUGCUAUCCUUCAUCUGAUUUGUAUCCAAAAUACUGAAACUCAUUUGUCUUGUAACUGUUUAUUCACAAGCUGUAGCUUGUUGGUUUAGCCACCAGUUGGCUGGACCAUUAUAGUUUAUCUUUCAUCUGAUUUCUGUUAUUCUCAUGAGUCUUCUGGUUGUUGGAAUAUGAGCUGUAACCUACUGGUUUAACCACUAGUUGGUUAAACCAAUUGGUACUGAAAAUAUAAAGUAAGAUUCAAAUACUAAAAUGUUAAGAUUCUGAGGUGGAGUUUCUAUGGUUUUUGUGUGUUUAAACUUUCAAAAUUAGUUAAGCUCAUAAAUCAUCUUGUAUGCUCAAGUUUGCAAUUCAGAUUUGUCAAGGUUGUAUGGAUGGAGGAACCUGUUGAAUCUGAACUCUUUUCAUGGACAAAUUCAUAGCAUAAACUGAUCAUCUCCUCCCCUUCUACUUCAGUGUAGUCUUCCAUAAUCAUGGGGAUGAAAACCUCAUUGGAUACAUGGGUUUAAUCCUAUGACAUGAUUAAAUCCAUGAACCAGGUUGUCCCUCACGUUUGAUUGUUGUUUUCUUUUCUUUGUACAUUCUGGUUCAAUAGUAGUUUAGUAAUUAAUUCCCCUCCCCUCUUUCCCUAUUAAAAGUAGUGUUGAUCAUGUUUCCUUUAGGUAGUAUUUCUUUUCUUCUCCUUCUCUUACUUAACUUUUCUUGGCUAAUUUGAUAGUGAGCUUUAACUUGUUGGUUCAGCCACUAGUUGGCUGGAUCAAUUAGUUUUAAAAAGCUUUAAUGUGGGAGAUAAAGUUGUUAUGGACAAGUCAUGUUCAAGAGGAGCAAGGAAAUUCUGGAAUCAUUAGAAGCUUUCUUUUACUGUAUUUUUGUUCCAUUCCAAUUUCUUGGGUGUCAGUUGUUUAGACAUUGAUUCUCUAAAAAUUAAAACUUCAUUGUAUAGAUUUGGGACUUACAUAUUUUUAAAAAUUGUUAAUUUUUUCCAAGUCCAGUUAGUGGUUAGUAAGCCUGCUAAAGUAGGCUGUUUUACUGUGCCAUGAAUGUAAUCUGCGGUAUAUGCGAUUUGGCAUUGGGGUCACUACUAGGACAAAUUUUUAGGCCAAUUCAAUGCAAGUCUGGUUUGAGCCAUUUGGGCUUGGGCGUUUGGACUUCACAAGAUGGCCAAACAGAAUUUGAUUCUUCAAUUACGGUUGUUCAAUACAGUUAAAAUUUUAAUUUAUU
Molecule: long non-coding RNA, 1790 nt
Filed under: Nicotiana benthamiana
Lineage: Eukaryota; Viridiplantae; Streptophyta; Magnoliopsida; Solanales; Solanaceae
Description: long non-coding RNA (NBEN_LNC041595)
Source: RNAcentral